GUAGGUGAACCUGCGGAAGGAUCAUUACCGAGUUCAUGCCCUUCGGGGUAGAUCUCCCACCCUUUGUAUACUAUACCUCUGUUGCUUUGGCGGACCGCCUAGCUACUGGCUUCGGCUGGUAAGUGCCUGCCAGAGGAUUCCAAACUCUGAAUGUCAAUGUCGUCUGAGUACUAUUUAAUAGUUAAAACUUUCAACAACGGAUCUCUUGGUUCUG
This 214-nucleotide unclassified non-coding RNA is filed under the name rhizosphere metagenome. Its description in RNAcentral is "partial ribosomal RNA internal transcribed spacer region". The record is from RNAcentral.